Camelina sativa (false flax) is the source of this 1246-nucleotide long non-coding RNA. RefSeq lists it as uncharacterized. The record is from RefSeq and is a predicted model, not a curated record. Lineage: Eukaryota; Viridiplantae; Streptophyta; Magnoliopsida; Brassicales; Brassicaceae.
GUUCUACAUUCGUCACAAAUCUAUUUCGUCCCUCACUGUUAAACCCUAGAUUUUCUUCUUCUUUCUCAAAAUCUUUCAAUGGCGUCCGCAGAUGUUGAGUUCCGGUGCUUCGUUGGAGGUCUAGCCUGGGCCACCGAUGACAGAGCUCUUGAGACAGCCUUCUCUCAAUACGGCGACGUUGUUGAAAUUGGGGCAAAAAGAAAACCAAAAUUUCUCACUUGUUCUUGUUAGAGAGAGAGAGAGAGAGAGAUCGCCGGAGAUGGGUUACGGAUGGGCGAUCUUCGAGGGGAUAGUGGUGAUGGGAUCUCUGUGUCUGUUAGGAUUGGCCGGUCUCUGGUUUCUCAAUCGGAGGCUUUACAAGGAGUAUGAAGAGAAGCGAGCCUUGGUUCAAAUCAUUUUCAGCAUCGUCUUCGUCUUCUCUUGCAACCUCUUACAGCUCGUUCUCUUCGAAAUCAUCCCUGUUUUAUCUCGAGAGUAAGCUUUUCGACGAACAGAUGAGAACAGAUGAAUCUCUUCUGAUUCUUUAGAUUUCAAUCGAUUCACCUUGAUUUUUCUGGUUCCAAUCGUUAUUAAUCUCGAUAUGACGUUUCGGAUUUGACGGCAAUUGAUCUCCGAUGGACUUACGGGGACGGCGAGAGGACUGGGAGGGGACGGCGAAGGGCACCAGCAAGCUCUUGGCAGAAGAUUCUGCUUUGAAGAGAUUCAGUCCCACAAGAAAAGUGUGCACAAACUUAAGAGGAUUGGAGAUGUGCUCACAGUCGUUGUUCUUGCAGCCAGCAGGAUCGAAGUAGCAAGAAUAUCAAAAGCAAACAAAUCUUCACUCUUUAGAAACACAAAAAGAACCGAUCUUCUUUUGUAGGCUGUUCCAACUGCAAAGGGCCAAGCUUUGGCUGAUGAGUAUGGAAUCAAUUUCUUUGAGAUGAGUGCAAAAACAAACCUAAAUGCAGAGGUAAGAACUGCAGGAAUCUACUACAAUUACUCGGUACUGACAUUAUAGCUGAAUGUUGAAUGUUGUUUUUAUUGUGAAGUUGUAUCUCUUUCCUGGUCUCUAUAUAUAUCGAACCACCAUUGUACUAAACCUAUCAUUCUCAUCCUCUCUUUCCCUCUUGUAAACUUUAGAAUCUUGGUUUCUCUGUAUUUCUUGUUCUUUAAAGAUAGUUCGUGACUAUGCUCAGUUCGAGAUGAAUUGUACUUGGGUAUGUAAAACAUUGAUUUGUCUAUUUUCAAAGUUAUGGUUGAUGGUUAA